GAAGGGGUGAGGUUGUCACUGCAGGGGCCAGCUCCAGUAAGUGGCUAGUGACUGACUAGCAGUGCAGUGCCUUUUUUGUUUUGUUUUUUAUUUCUUUUUUCUUGAGCUUGCUGCUUUUCCUUCUCCGCUCAUGUAAUGCACUCCCUGAACCAAGAAAUCAAAGCAUUCUCCCGGGAUAAUCUCAGGAAGCAGUGCACCAGGGUGACCACGCUAACUGGAAAGAAACUUAUAGAAACCUGGGAAGAUGCCACAGUUCAUGUUGUGGAGACAGAGCCCAGCGGUGGGGGUGGUUGUGGCUAUGUGCAGGACCUUACCUUGGACCUGCAAGUUGGCGUUAUUAAGCCCUGGUUGCUUCUGGGUGAGUAGACUGACUCGCCACUUCCUUGUGGAGUCCUAGGCUGGGUUCCUUUGCCAUCAGCUUCCCCUAUGCACACUAAUUCCCUAUGCACAAUAAUAUCAGCUAUCCUGAUGUACAGUUGAAAUGUUUACUUUUUUAGGUUAGGAACAAAAUAGGGACGUGUCUGCCCGCACAACCUUCUUCUGAAAACAUAGUAGCACUUUGACACCUGAUGAUUGAGUUUUAGAAGAAAUGUUCCUCUGUUUUUCUAACUUUCUUUAAAAGAUAAUGGGAUGUUGUAUUUUCUUGUAUUAUAGAAAAGACUAUAUCCUUUAAAAAAAAUGCAAAAAGCAAGUGGCUCCUUGGCUGUUGAAGGGAUGUUGAGGGCACACGUCCUUCCUGUGGCUGCAUCUGCUCGUGGUGCCUGUCUUUGGGUGUUAAACACAGGGCUUCUGCUUCAUAGCUAUGAACCCGAUGGUCUUAUUUCUUGUGCUAUGGAAAUACUGAGUUCGUAUACAAGCAUCGCCCACAGAUAACAAAAGAAACAAGCUUGUAAGAGAACUCACUUGUUACCUUGUUGAUCUGGGAUGGUGUUCUGUAGAAACCAGCCUGUUCCAUAAGUCUGCAUUGGUGUGCAUUUAUGAAUGAGAAAUUAACACUUGGACACAGAACCAGGAGUUAGACACACCCACAAUAUGAACUAUACACAGCAUAUAAUUGUUUUAAAGAUCUUCAAAUAGGGAUUAUCUUUAUAUUACAAACAGGAAUUGGCAUUAAUAUUGGUUAAGUAAUUUGCACAGGCAAUAGAUUCAGUAAAUAGCAGAGAUGUCCAAGGGGAUUAGGUCUAAGUCUGACUGACUCUUGCACACCAUCAUAGUACUAUGUUGUUUAAGGCUGGACUUACAUUAGGUGUUCCAAUUCAUUUAUCCUCUCAAAACUGCAAAAACCCAUCUGCUUACAUUAUUUUUUAGUUUGUUUAUUUUGUGUGCAUGUGUGCAUAAGUGUAUGCGCGUGUAGUGUGUGUGUGCAUGGCACUACACCUCCCCAGCUCCUGUCUGCUUUCACUGAAGGGACAUCCUAUAAGGUUGUUUUGGCAUUGUGAUUUUUUUUUUUCUUUUGGCAAAACUCAAGUCCCACCAUGUAUCCUAAGAACUGUCACAUACAUUUUCUCUAGAUUGACUCAAUGAAUAGGACCAGAUAAAAUUUGCAGUUUAGAGAAAAGAAAAAUACCAUCUUCUAACCAAUGAAAAGCAGAAAGUGAAGUGACUUUUGGCUGAGCUGGCUAGUUCAGAUCUUAUGUCUUCAUCUAAGAAUGAGAUUAUUUAUAUUCAUACUUUGCAACCCCCCCAAGCGUUUUCUGACCUCCACAAUUGAUCACCAACUCUAUCUCUGUCUGUCCUUUGUCUGUCUUUCUCUCUCCCUCUCACCCCCUCUUUGUCUUUCUCUCUCUUAUGUACAC
RNAcentral lists this long non-coding RNA (1796 nucleotides) under Mus musculus (house mouse). RNAcentral's name for it is "long non-coding RNA chr2:80617248-80619044". The record is from RNAcentral. Lineage: Eukaryota; Metazoa; Chordata; Mammalia; Rodentia; Muridae.